GUAGGUGAACCUGCGGAAGGAUCAUUAACACAAAAGUCACAGUUGUGUGUUGUGGUUUGUCUCACCUGGCUCUCACGGGCAAGGCAGGCAGACCGCGGCCCAACAUGUCACUUUUUAACCCCCCUUUUGUGCACACUUGUUGUUGGCUAUGUGUGUGGUUUUUUUGUUUCAUGACACAAAACACAUACAUAGCUCGUUAUCCCGGACAGAAAGAGGCACGUUAUGUGUUUCUCUCUGUCUGUUGGUUUCCACCUCAAUCUAUUGACCCCUUGAACUGUCUUGGACUGAACAUCUGAGAGCGGUUUAUAUGUAGGAGUUUUAACUAACUCUUGUGUAUAGCCCUCUCUGCCAUUAUAUCAAACGCUUGAACAACUCUUAGCAACGGAUAUCUUGGCUCUC
RNAcentral lists this unclassified non-coding RNA (399 nucleotides) under rhizosphere metagenome. RNAcentral describes it as "partial ribosomal RNA internal transcribed spacer region". The record is from RNAcentral.